UUUUGGUCACUGCUUGGGGGAUUAUUCAUUCUUACAAUGGUAAAGGUUGUCCGGAGCGAGUUUCGUCACACAUAAAAGUUUGAGCUCUGGCCUAGCACAACUCAGCACAUGUCACAGAUUCGACUUUUGGAUUUAAAAAAAAAGAAUCAUUUUUUUGAUGUUUUGUUUGAAUUUUUUUUCAAAAAUGAAAACGGCACAAGCGAGCACAAUUCGAGGACAACUCGGCACAAGUCGCAGAUCUUCGAAUAACGGUACGGUAAGCGAAACUAAAUACGGCACAAGUUAGCACAAAUUGAGCACAAUUCAGCACGAUUUGAAAAAAGUUGAUAUUCGAAAAGUGCUGGGCUGGUCGUAAUUUGGUUUUUUCAAAAUUCCUGGAAAACUGUCGAGGUUGAGAGAUCAAGUUUUACGGCACAAGUGAGCACAAAAGGAGCACAACUCAGCACAAUUUUUAAAAAUAUUAAUUUCGAAAAGUGCUGGGCCAAGUUCACACACAUAAUGAUUGAUCCUGUUAGCUUGUAUAUCGAUCGAUAAGAAGUGGUUCUGUGGUUUCUUCCCAUAAAAGUAUAAGAAUACAGCAGGGGAGCUGUAAGCUUUCGUGCAAGCAGAAGUGUCUCCUUACCAGAGAAAGAAAAUCAAGGUUUUCGAAUGCCACUGGUGAGAAAAGGAUUAUUGUCUUUAUAUUGAAUGUGCAGUUACUGAGUAUGUGGUGUAAACGUUAAUAAGGAAUUGCGUCAAAUUAGAGAUGUUCAACAUUUAUGAAUGAAAAUGAAAAUUUGCGAGAAAAACAACGAAAUGCAUAUGGCACAACCAAUUGCCAGCGUCGGAAUAAUGGAGUAGAAAUAAUUCAAGCCUGUUUGCUACUUGUAAAGGACAAUGGCGCAAUAUUUCGAAGAAAUCCGAAUCAAACAGACGCAAUGCAUCUAUUGUCAUAAGCCAGCGUGAUACAAAAAUUCUCUUCAACUCUAUUUUCCUCAUUCCUGAGUAGUGCGUGUUGGCCUUGCUGUGGCGUCAAAGUUGAAAAAUGGUGAGUGUGCGCUUUCAAUAUUAAUUUUGGUAGUUGGCUGACAAAGUUUCAGUAAUAUACUCGAGUUGGUUGAAUUAGUUUAGAGCCGUAGCAGAGGACUGAUAAAUGGCUCGACAGUGGUACAUUAUUGAAUGAGUCAAGCAACUAGAAGCCUAUGGAUUUGUUCUGUGCAUCAGGGGCUUCAUAUUUUGGUCCAAGUAAACACCUUUAUAAAUUUGAACAGAUUCUGUGAUCCGAAGGUGUGAUAUUCUGCUUGUUAGUGUCCGUGUUUGUUAUUUUGAUUUACGCCGCAAGGUGCGGUUAUGAUGUCGGGAUGUGAUGUGAAACAAAGAAAAAAGCAGCUUCCGUCUCUUUUUCUCCCAAAUGCGGCGCAUGCGCCGUCGAUCCUAGUUCAGACUACCAUCACCACUGAUAAUUCUGUUCUUUGCAAGACCUAUAUGUAAGACUGUACUCUUAUGCACGGAACUCUAUAUACACUGGAAUGCGCGCAAUGGAAGUGGGGGCCGGUGAGAGCAAGUUAGUUGUUUCAUACCUUCCGUACUUGUCGCACACAUAACUGCGUUCUGUGCUGCAAAUGUAAGUCAGGUGCUUUGACAGAUCUUGGAAGCGCAUCGAAUUUAGAUAUUAUCAGUGCAUUAUAUGUAUGUAUAAGUCCUUAUGAAACCAAUGAAAGGGAAGAAAAGUAUAUAAUAGAUGUGAGAAGAUAUAAUUCGAAAUUGUUUUAUUCAGUUCUCGGAUAUAUUACUGUCUAAUUAUCUUUAUACAAAUGUAAAUACGUGUCUCGGUAAUUAAUUCACUUUAAAGUGGAAUAGCUGUUUCAUCUAAAUAAAAUCAAAAAAAAUAUAACCAGGUUCAACUGUCAGCAACAGUUUAUGCCGCGCUUGAAGCAAACACCCCAACACACCAGUCAUUUGCUCUGACGGUCAAUGUUUUAUGCAAAAUGGUCAACACAUAUUAGACAAGUGCAGAAGGUAUAUAACACAACUAUCUCUCUCUUAUUGCUGGUCACUGCACUGAACAUAGAUCCGUGUGAUGUAAUAUACCUAUGUAUACAUCAGUUUGGGGACUUCUUGUAUAUCGCGAACCAUAUGAUCAAUAUUAGAACCAUGCCAUUCAUUUAUAGACAGUAAGUGGGAAACCCUCGCGAUCAAAAAUUUCGAUCAGUUUCCAGACCUGUAUAUAGGACAGGGUCCAAGCCCUACAGAAAGUUCUUAACAAACUGCAUCUUGGAUUUGGAUUAUAAUGAAAGGUCGAAUAAAUUGAAUCUUCCUUGACUAAAAAUGAGAAGAGAAAAAGGCGACCAAUUCCAAUGGUUUAUGCUUUUAACGGGUCAUUAUGAUAUGAAUCAGAAGGAGUUUUUCAGGCUAUCAAGGAACAUGCAGCUAUGAGACCAUCGUCUAAAACUUGA
Molecule: long non-coding RNA, 2435 nt
Organism: Neodiprion virginianus
Lineage: Eukaryota; Metazoa; Arthropoda; Insecta; Hymenoptera; Diprionidae
Exons: 4
Source: RefSeq, a predicted model, not a curated record